Molecule: ribosomal RNA, 496 nt
Filed under: uncultured bacterium
Lineage: Bacteria
Description: partial 16S ribosomal RNA
Rfam family: Bacterial small subunit ribosomal RNA
Source: RNAcentral
GAUGAACGCUGGCGGCGUGCCUAAUACAUGCAAGUCGAGCGAACGGACGAGAAGCUUGCUUUUCUGAUGUUAGCGGCGGACGGGUGAGUAACACGUGGAUACCUACCUAUAAGACUGGGAUAACUUCGGGAAACCGGAGCUAAUACCGGAUAAUAUUUUGAACCGCAUGGUUCAAAAGUGAAAGACGGUCUUGCUGUCACUUAUAGAUGGAUCCGCGCUGCAUUAGCUAGUUGGUAAGGUAACGGCUUACCAAGGCAACGAUGCAUAGCCGACCUGAGAGGGUGAUCGGCCACACUGGAACUGAGACACGGUCCAGACUCCUACGGGAGGCAGCAGUAGGGAAUCUUCCGCAAUGGGCGAAAGCCUGACGGAGCAACGCCGCGUGAGUGAUGAAGGUCUUCGGGUCGUAAAACUCUGUUAUUAGGGAAGAACAUAUGUGUAAGUAACUGUGCACAUCUUGACAGUACCUAAUCAGAAAGCCACGGCUAACUACGUG